Molecule: ribosomal RNA, 441 nt
Filed under: uncultured bacterium
Lineage: Bacteria
Description: partial 16S ribosomal RNA
Rfam family: Bacterial small subunit ribosomal RNA
Source: RNAcentral
CCUACGGGUGGCAGCAGUGGGGAAUAUUGCACAAUGGGGGAAACCCUGAUGCAGCGACGCCGCGUGAGUGAAGAAGUAUUUCGGUAUGUAAAGCUCUAUCAGCAGGGAAGAAGCAAGACGGUACCUGACUAAGAAGCCCCGGCUAACUACGUGCCAGCAGCCGCGGUAAUACGUAGGGGGCAAGCGUUAUCCGGAUUUACUGGGUGUAAAGGGAGCGUAGGCGGUAUUGCAAGUCUGAAGGGAAAGCCCAGGGGUUAACCCUGGGACUGCUUUGGAAACUGUUAGACUAGAGUGCUGUAGAGGUAAGUGGAAUUCCUAGUGUAGCGGUGAAAUGCGUAGAUAUUAGGAGGAACACCAGUGGCGAAGGCAGCUUACUGGACAGUAACUGACGUUGAGGCUCGAAAGCGUGGGGAGCAAACAGGAUUAGAUACCCUAGUAGUC